RNAcentral lists this long non-coding RNA (376 nucleotides) under Physcomitrium patens. RNAcentral describes it as "long non-coding RNA (PPAT_LNC001256)". The record is from RNAcentral. Lineage: Eukaryota; Viridiplantae; Streptophyta; Bryopsida; Funariales; Funariaceae.
CUUAAUAUACAAAUGAAUAAAUAUUCAUGACCUCAGAUGAACUAUGUUAGCACUCAUUUUCAAACAAGGUCAAGUAUAUUUUAUGUAAUUUAUCAUUCUUCUUUCUAUGGCUGUAGUGCAUCACCAAGAGCAUUGUCAUGUAAGUUUUAUGUAAUUUAUCAUUCUUCUUUCUAUGGCUAUAGCACAUCACCAAGAGCAUUGAAAGGGACUGAGUAGUUUUUAAAUUAUUUAGCAUAUGCCAAUAGUGUGUGCAUGUCACGGACACAAAAUACAGACUUGAAAUCUAACAAGAAGUUCAAGAAGAAGUGGCAGAACUAGAUUAAACAGAUGAGUACAAGAACAACACCAGAAAGGUGAGCUAGAACUCCAAGAGAUG